AGAGUUUGAUCCUGGCUCAGGAUGAACGCCUGGCGGCGUGCCUAAUACAUGUAAGUCGAACGGAAGAUGUAGCAAUAUGUCUUUAGUGGCGAACGGGUGAGUAACGCGUUGGUGACCUGCCCCGAAGAGAGGGAUAACAGACCGAAAGGUUUGCUAAUACCGCGUAAUUUCCUUCUAGUUAGAGAGGAGGGAAGAAAGGCCGAAAGGCGCUUUGGGAGGGGCCUGCGUCCCAUCAGCUAGUUGGCGAGGUAAAAGCUCACCAAGGCGAUGACGGGUAGGGGACCUGAGAGGGUGACCCCCCACAAUGGAACUGAAACACGGUCCAUACACCUACGGGUGGCAGCAGUAGGGAAUAUUGGUUAAUGGGCGAAAGCCCGACCCAGCAACGCCGCGUGCACGAAGAAGGCCUUCGGGUUGUAAAGUGCUUUUUAGUGGGAUGAGGAAGGACAGUACCACUAGAAUAAGUCUCGGCUAACUACGUGCCAGCAGCCGCGGUAACACGUAGGAGACGAGCGUUAUCCGGAUUUACUGGGUGUAAAGCGCGUGCAGGCGGUCGGGUAAGUUGGAUGUGAAAGCUCCUGGCUUAACUGGGAGAGGUCGUUCAAAACUGCCGGGCUAGAGUGCAACAGAGGGGAGUGGAAUUCCGAGUGUAGCGGUAAAAUGCAUAGAUAUUCGGAAGAACACCAGUGGCGAAGGCGGCUCUCUGGGUUGCAACUGACGCUCAGACGCGAAAGCUAGGGUAGCGAACGGGAUUAGAGACCCCGGUAGUCCUAGCCGUAAACGAUGUGGACUUGGCGUGGGUGGGUUGAAAUCCAUCUGUGCCGAAGCAAACGCGAUAAGUCCACCACCUGGGGACUACGGCCGCAAGGUUAAAACUCAAAGGAAUUG
This 888-nucleotide ribosomal RNA is filed under the name uncultured bacterium. RNAcentral's name for it is "bacterial SSU rRNA". It matches the Rfam family "Bacterial small subunit ribosomal RNA", at positions 8 to 912 of the family's 1533-position model. The record is from RNAcentral.